This 341-nucleotide long non-coding RNA is filed under the name Callithrix jacchus (white-tufted-ear marmoset). RNAcentral describes it as "lncRNA (ENSCJAG00000076575.1)". Lineage: Eukaryota; Metazoa; Chordata; Mammalia; Primates; Cebidae. The record is from RNAcentral.
GUAAAUGUUACUGAUUGACUGAAAGACAUCCUAUUAUGAGGCCAUUAUUACUGGAGUUUGCAGGUUUCUUUUCCUAAUUUUAAAAUGCCUUUUUCAUUUUAGAUAACCCCAGGUAACUGUCUCACCACAUCAGUCUAUUGAUUCUCACUGCACGGAGUGAAGAAGAAACCACCAGAUCAGGUGAUUGGGGAACAGAUGGUGUUUGGUUACAUGGGCCCGUCUUCUUCAGGCCUGCUGCAGUUUUCUGGAUGCCCAUCCCAGACCCCAUUUGCCUGGGUAUUACCAGUAAAGGCUGUAGAAUAGCAAAGACUGCUACUUGCUCCUUCCUCUGGAAGCCUCAU